Molecule: ribosomal RNA, 253 nt
Filed under: uncultured bacterium
Lineage: Bacteria
Description: partial 16S ribosomal RNA
Rfam family: Bacterial small subunit ribosomal RNA
Source: RNAcentral
UACGGAGGGGGCUAGCGUUGUUCGGAAUUACUGGGCGUAAAGCGCACGUAGGCGGCUUUGUAAGUUAGAGGUGAAAGCCCGGAGCUCAACUCCGGAAUUGCCUUUAAGACUGCAUCGCUUGAAUCAUGGAGAGGUGAGUGGAAUUCCGAGUGUAGAGGUGAAAUGCGUAGAGAUGCGGAGGAAUACCAGUGGCGAAGGCGGCCUUCUGGGACUCAACUGACGCUGAAGCGCGAAAGCAUGGGGAGCGAACGGG